CCAUUUUUCAUCUCCUUUCUCGACCAAAAAAAACCCUCGACUUCUCCAACGCCUCUGAUCCCUCGUUCUCGCCUCGUCGGCGAUCUUGGUUUGCCAGCCGACGAAUCGGUUCACCGCGGCGGAGAUGCUACUCCUUUCGUCUUCCAAUCACCUUUUGAACUGCGGUCGAUCUUCUUCUUUCGAACCGUGACCGAUCACAAAUCCACCGCAUCCGAUCUUAUUCUCCUUUCGUGAUCUAUAGGUAAUUUUGUCUUCCAAUCUACUGAUUUCUGUUCUACAUAUUUGGUGCGAGAGAUAUUUAUCCCUUGGAAUCCGAUUUGGGUUUAUGUUUAAGGUUUGAUUCCGGUUGGUUAUGAUUCGGAUUUGGGUUUUUGGAUCUGGGUUUAGGUGUUUGGAUUCGAUUCUUGUUUGAUAUGAUAUGGAUUUAGGUGUUUGGAUUCGAUGCUUGUUUGAUAUGAAUUGGUUGAUUGGUUUCGAUUCUUUAUCUGAUUGUUAGAUAUGAUAUGCUUCGAUGCUUUUUAGAAAUGAUAUGUUUCGAUGCUUGUUAGAAAUGAUAUGUUUCGAUGCUUGUUUGAUUUGGGGUUUUCAAGUCUCGAUGCUUGUUAGAAAUGAUAUGUUUCUGAUGUUUUGAUGUUUGUUUGAUGGUAUGGUUGCAGGUUCUGAUGUUUUCCUCUUACAAUGGGAGUGUUUGUGUUAUAGAAACAGCUCAAGCUUUGAAAACUGUUCAGUUUAGUGUUCGCAAAUGCAUAUAUUCAAAGAAACUGUGUUGCUUUGUAUCAAUUUGUAUAGGUUAAGUUGUUUGAAGUAAACAUUGUUAGGUGGUAAUAAAUGCAUAAUGGUUAGUUUAUAGGAUUUAUGUAGUAACUGAUUUUGCUGGUUAGAUAGAGAUUAUGGUUGUGAUAAAUGCUUGUCAAGUUGAUGUGGUUGUGUAUUUGUGUUGAAUGCAUUCUCUUUCUUUCCUUAAUUUCUUCCUUUUUGAUGAAUGCUUUUCAAGUUCUUUUGUCUCUUUCUUUUCAUCUCCUUUCAACUUCCUUCUUCUUAUUGUUCUUAUUAUUAAACACGAGUUCUAUCUUUUCAUCUUUUUUCAAGUUCUUUCUCUCAUUGUUCUUCUAAUUAUAUACGAGUUCUCUCUUUUUAUCUCUUUUCUCUCUUCUUUGUCUUUCUGGAUAUGUCUUUUUAUCCAUAUAGUCAGUCCUCUCAUUUUGUUGAACUGUUUAACAGUCAACAAGAGAGUGGGUUGAUAUUUCCUUGUGUCGCAUUUGGACCAUCACAGUCUCUGGUCUUCAGUUCUCAAGCAAACUCUGAAGAUGCAAGCAUCGGUGAAGAGACGCCUGCAGAGAUAAGGGAAAGAAGGAAAUGGACGCCAAGUGAUGAUGUAUUGCUCAUCAGCUUGUGGCUCAACACCUUCAAAGAUCCAGUUGUAGGCAACGAGCAGAAGUCAGAGGCCUUUUGGAAAUGCAUUUCGGACUAUUUUGCUGCAAGUUUGAAAGCUGCAGGAAGAGAAAACCAAGAACUUAUUCAGUGUAAGCAGCGGUGGCAGAAGAUCAAUGACGUUGUAUGCAAGUUAUGUGGAUCCUACGAGGCUGCAACAAGGGAGAAAUCAAGUGGUUAAAACGAGAAUGAUGUUCUCAAACUAGCUCAUGAGAUAUCUACAAUGACCAUAAGAAGAAAUUCACAUUGGACCACGCUUGGAAGGAGCUGCGUAAUGACCAGGAAUGGUAUGAGCUAGCUAGUUUUAAAACGGAUGGAAGCCGUAAAAAGAGAAUGUGUGAAGAUGGAGCACAAUCAUCAAGCUCUUAUGCAGAGCCAGAGGAAGUUCAAACCACUAACCAGCCUCCUGGUGUUAAGGCAUAAAAAGCCAGAGGAAAGAGGGUUACGGUUGAUGGAAAUGCUUUGUCACGGUUUCAGGAAAUGUGGUCUAUAAAAGAGAAAGAUAUGGCGCUAAAAGAGAGACUGUCCAAGAUGGCUUUACUUGACAGUCUCUUUGCCAAGAAAGAACCUCUAUCCGAGUAUGAAGAGGCUUUGAAGAAGAAGCUUAUAACUGAUAUGUUGGCUACUUAGUGUAUUCUAUGUGUCGAAUAGAAUUUGAAGUUGUGUUCGAUUCUUGUUUGUGUUCUUAGUGUCAAGUUAGUGUCUUCGAUAUGUUUCAGUUUGUGACUUCUAUCACUUUGUGACUUGAUUAUGAAGUUGUAUUAUGUUUUAAUUUAAAUGUUGUUAUCGCUUUGAAGAAGCUUUGUCUUUAAUGAAAGGAGUUAGUCUUUAGUUGUGGUCUGUUUUAGUUGUUGUAUCAUUUUUAAGAAGCAUUGUCUUUAAUUAAGAUUAUCGCUUUAGUUGUUGUAUGUUGGAGAUUCAUUUAAUUCUUAUUUAUGUUAGUGAUCUGACCAUAUUUUUGUUUCUAUUUUUCCUUUGUUGUUUGUUUGAUUUAAUUCUGAGGAAUGAUACUUUGAGGGUUUAGGUUGCAGAUGAGUAUGUUUUCAUCUGCGUAUUUACCAGGUUUCAAAGAUUAUAGAAGUCAGCACAAAGAAACAAAGUCACCAAGAAACAAUGGUCUACCACCAUCUCCUUUCGACACAAAGAAACAAAGUCACCAAGAAACACCAAGAAAGAAGACACCAAGAAACAAGACAAGAAGUGGGCCCUUUUUCUUUGUUUUUUUUGGGUCGAUGUGUUGCGUUUUUGGUCGAUGUGUUGUUUUUUGUAACUUUGCCAAUAAUAAACAAUGUCCACAAAUGUGUUAGGAUCAUUUGUUACCACAAGUAUACAAUGUGUUUGUCUAAAUAAU
This is a long non-coding RNA of Eutrema salsugineum, 2782 nucleotides long. RefSeq lists it as uncharacterized. The record is from RefSeq and is a predicted model, not a curated record. The transcript has 2 exons. Lineage: Eukaryota; Viridiplantae; Streptophyta; Magnoliopsida; Brassicales; Brassicaceae.